This is a small nuclear RNA of Onychostoma macrolepis, 164 nucleotides long. RefSeq annotates it as U1 spliceosomal RNA. Lineage: Eukaryota; Metazoa; Chordata; Actinopteri; Cypriniformes; Cyprinidae. The transcript has a single exon. The record is from RefSeq and is a predicted model, not a curated record.
AUGUUUUUGAAGAAGAGAAGAAGAGAAAAAAAAAAAAAAGGUUCACCCAGGGCGAGGCUCGGUCAUUGCACUCCAGUCGUGCUGACGCCUGCGAAUUCCCCAAAUGUGGGAAUCUCAACUGCAUAAUUUAUGGUAGUGGGGGACUGCGUUCGUGCUCUCCCCUG